GACGAACGCUGGCGGCAUGCCUAAUACAUGCAAGUCGAGCGAACAGAUGAAGUGCUUGCACUUCUGACGUUAGCGGCGAACGGGUGAGUAACACGUAAGGAAUCUACCUAUAAGCGGGGGAUAACAUUCGGAAACGGGUGCUAAUACCGCAUAAUAUCUUCUUCCGCAUGGAAGAAGAUUGAAAGACGGCUCUGCUGUCACUUAUAGAUGACCUUGCGGUGCAUUAGUUAGUUGGUGGGGUAAUGGCCUAGCAAGAGGAUGAUGCAUAGCCGACAUGCGAGGGUGAUAGGCAACAUUGGGACUGAGACACGGCCCAAACUCAUACGGGAGGCAGCAGUAGGGAAUCUUCCGCAAUGGGCGAAAGCCUGACGGAGCAAUGCCGCGUGAGUGAAGAAGGCCUUCGGGUCGUAAAACUCUGUUAUAAGAGAAGAACAAAUUGUAGAGUAACUGCUACAGUCUUGACGGUAUCUUAUCAGAAAGCCACGGCUAACUACGUGCCAGCCGCCGCGGUAA
RNAcentral lists this ribosomal RNA (513 nucleotides) under uncultured bacterium. RNAcentral's name for it is "partial 16S ribosomal RNA". It matches the Rfam family "Bacterial small subunit ribosomal RNA", at positions 28 to 523 of the family's 1533-position model. The record is from RNAcentral.